Molecule: long non-coding RNA, 245 nt
Organism: Corythoichthys intestinalis (scribbled pipefish)
Lineage: Eukaryota; Metazoa; Chordata; Actinopteri; Syngnathiformes; Syngnathidae
Exons: 3
Source: RefSeq, a predicted model, not a curated record
ACUUCCGGUUCACUUGACGCAACGUUUGUGGACCUGACACCACUUACAGUACCCUUCAAACCAAACGCGCUCCUUCAGAGCAUUCUCAUCGGAUAAUGUGCACGAGUGGUGGGGGUGUCCCUAUGGAUUUCUUGCUUGGAGCCCCAAGAGACCAUAGCAACUACACUGCUAACAGAUGUCACUGAAGAUCUUCACCCUGAAAUGCAUAAUCCCACCAACGUUGUAUAGAAGGACAAAUUGGAGAU